Molecule: transfer RNA, 72 nt
Filed under: Wolfiporia cocos
Lineage: Eukaryota; Fungi; Basidiomycota; Agaricomycetes; Polyporales; Phaeolaceae
Also listed under: 1 other name
Description: tRNA-Met
Rfam family: tRNA
About the family: Transfer RNA (tRNA) molecules are approximately 80 nucleotides in length. Their secondary structure includes four short double-helical elements and three loops (D, anti-codon, and T loops). Further hydrogen bonds mediate the characteristic L-shaped molecular structure. tRNAs have two regions of fundamental functional importance: the anti-codon, which is responsible for specific mRNA codon recognition, and the 3' end, to which the tRNAs corresponding amino acid is attached (by aminoacyl-tRNA synthetases). tRNAs cope with the degeneracy of the genetic code in two manners: having more than one tRNA (with a specific anti-codon) for a particular amino acid; and 'wobble' base-pairing, i.e. permitting non-standard base-pairing at the 3rd anti-codon position.
Source: RNAcentral
AAGGCUGUAUCAUAAUGGUAAUGAAGUUUGCUCAUAACAAAUAAUAUAAGGGUUCGAUUCCCUUCGUCCUUA